AGAGUUUGAUCCUGGCUCAGAUUGAACGCUGGCGGCAUGCCUUACACAUGCAAGUCGAACGGUAACAGGUCUUCGGACGCUGACGAGUGGCGAACGGGUGAGUAAUACAUCGGAACGUGCCCAGUCGUGGGGGAUAACUACUCGAAAGAGUAGCUAAUACCGCAUACGAUCUGAGGAUGAAAGUGGGGGACCUUCGGGCCUCGCGCGAUUGGAGCGGCCGAUGGCAGAUUAGGUAGUUGGUGGGAUAAAAGCUUACCAAGCCGACGAUCUGUAGCUGGUCUGAGAGGACGACCAGCCACACUGGGACUGAGACACGGCCCAGACUCCUACGGGAGGCAGCAGUGGGGAAUUUUGGACAAUGGGCGAAAGCCUGAUCCAGCAAUGCCGCGUGCAGGAUGAAGGCCUUCGGGUUGUAAACUGCUUUUGUACGGAACGAAAAAGCUCCUUCUAAUACAGGGGGCCCAUGACGGUACCGUAAGAAUAAGCACCGGCUAACUACGUGCCAGCAGCCGCGGUAAUACGUAGGGUGCGAGCGUUAAUCGGAAUUACUGGGCGUAAAGCGUGCGCAGGCGGUUAUGUAAGACAGAUGUGAAAUCCCCGGGCUCAACCUGGGAACUGCAUUUGUGACUGCAUGGCUAGAGUACGGUAGAGGGGGAUGGAAUUCCGCGUGUAGCAGUGAAAUGCGUAGAUAUGCGGAGGAACACCGAUGGCGAAGGCAAUCCCCUGGACCUGUACUGACGCUCAUGCACGAAAGCGGGGGGAGCAAACAGGAUUAGAUACCCUGGUAGUCC
Molecule: ribosomal RNA, 791 nt
Filed under: uncultured bacterium
Lineage: Bacteria
Description: bacterial SSU rRNA
Rfam family: Bacterial small subunit ribosomal RNA
Source: RNAcentral